UCAUUAUACAAAAGGGAAAAAAUGAUAGCACUCCUCUAAAUGAGAAUUUCAGAGGCCUUGGCCUACCACACACAAAUACUUAAAGCAAUGCCACAUACUCUGUGUAAUCAAACUAUAGCUUUUU
Small nuclear RNA from Erinaceus europaeus (western European hedgehog), 124 nucleotides. NCBI's taxonomy places the organism in Eukaryota, Metazoa, Chordata, Mammalia, Eulipotyphla, Erinaceidae. The record is from Ensembl.